AUUGAACGCUGGCGGCAGGCCUAACACAUGCAAGUCGAGCGGAUGACGGGAGCUUGCUCCUUGAUUCAGCGGCGGACGGGUGAGUAAUGCCUAGGAAUCUGCCUGGUAGUGGGGGACAACGUUUCGAAAGGAACGCUAAUACCGCAUACGUCCUACGGGAGAAAGCAGGGGACCUUCGGGCCUUGCGCUAUCAGAUGAGCCUAGGUCGGAUUAGCUAGGUGGUGGGGUAAUGGCUCACCAAGGCGACGAUCCGUAACUGGUCUGAGAGGAUGAUCAGUCACACGGGAAAUGAGACACGGUCCAGACUCCUACGGGAGGCAGCAGUGGGGAAUAUUGGACAAUGGGCGAAAGCCUGAUCCAGCCAUGCCGCGUGUGUGAAGAAGGUCUUCGGAUUGUAAAGCACUUUAAGUUGGGAGGAAGGGCAGUAAGCUAAUACCUUGCUGUUUUGACGUUACCGACAGAAUAAGCACCGGCUAACUCUGUGCCAGCCGCCGCGGUAA
Molecule: ribosomal RNA, 500 nt
Filed under: uncultured bacterium
Lineage: Bacteria
Description: partial 16S ribosomal RNA
Rfam family: Bacterial small subunit ribosomal RNA
Source: RNAcentral